Long non-coding RNA from Mercenaria mercenaria, 588 nucleotides. RefSeq lists it as uncharacterized. Lineage: Eukaryota; Metazoa; Mollusca; Bivalvia; Venerida; Veneridae. The record is from RefSeq and is a predicted model, not a curated record. The transcript is spliced from 4 exons.
GUCUUUACAUGUGAAAAAGUAAGCGAACCAGAAACGUUCAAAUAUUUUCAACGCAGUAGGUUCGUUAAAAUUGUGAAUACUUCGAAGUGAAAAUAUUUUUCUAUUUGAAUAUAGGUUACGGAUGAAAUAGGAUAUAAAAAUGUUUUUUUUGAAACGUCGAAGAUUUUGUCUGCAUCUCGUAAGAUAUCGGAAGCCGUCUGACUUGGCCACAUCGCUCGGAAGUCCGAAGUACUAGAAAAAACCGCCAUCUGCUACCUUAAGGUAGCAGUUGGUAGUUUCCAGCCACAGAUUCGAAUUGGCCAGGGUCAAAAUCUGUCAUUAGAGAUAAGACCUUGAAGUGAAGGCAGUUUUGAUGUUUGAAAUAUUUGUUGAUGUCUGCAUCUCGUAAGAUAUCGGAAGCCGUCUGACUUGGCCACAUCGCUUGGAAGUCCGAAGUACUAGAAAAAAACCGCCAUCUGCUACCUUAAGACAUUCGUCAAUUUUUGUCUGCAUCUCGUAAGAUAUCGGAAGCCGUCUGACUUGGCCACAUCGCUCGGAAGUCCGAAGUACUAGAAAAAACCGCCAUCUGCUACCUAAAUUUAAUAAAAA